GUACCCCAAACCGACACAGGUGGUCAGGUAGAGAAUACCAAGGCGCUUGAGAGAACUCGGGUGAAGGAACUAGGCAAAAUGGUGCCGUAACUUCGGGAGAAGGCACGCUGGUGUGUAGGUGAAGCCCCUGCGGGUGGAGCUGAGACCAGUCGAAGAUACCAGCUGGCUGCAACUGUUUAUUAAAAACACAGCACUGUGCAAACACGAAAGUGGACGUAUACGGUGUGACGCCUGCCCGGUGCCGGAAGGUUAAUUGAU
Molecule: ribosomal RNA, 258 nt
Filed under: Klebsiella pneumoniae
Lineage: Bacteria; Pseudomonadati; Pseudomonadota; Gammaproteobacteria; Enterobacterales; Enterobacteriaceae
Also listed under: 1 other name
Description: partial 23S ribosomal RNA
Rfam family: Bacterial large subunit ribosomal RNA
Source: RNAcentral